This 253-nucleotide ribosomal RNA is filed under the name uncultured bacterium. RNAcentral describes it as "partial 16S ribosomal RNA". It matches the Rfam family "Bacterial small subunit ribosomal RNA", at positions 524 to 776 of the family's 1533-position model. The record is from RNAcentral.
UACGGGGGGGGCAAGCGUUGUUCGGAAUUACUGGGCGUAAAGGGCUCGUAGGCGGCCAACUAAGUCAGACGUGAAAUCCCUCGGCUUAACCGGGGAACUGCGUCUGAUACUGGAUGGCUUGAGAUUGGGAGAGAGAUGCGGAAUUCCAGGUGUAGCGGUGAAAUGCGUAGAUAUCUGGAGGAACACCGGUGGCGAAGGCGGCAUCCUGGGCCAACACUGACGCUGAGGAGCGAAAGCCAGGGGAGCAAACAGG